Molecule: ribosomal RNA, 534 nt
Filed under: uncultured bacterium
Lineage: Bacteria
Description: bacterial SSU rRNA
Rfam family: Bacterial small subunit ribosomal RNA
Source: RNAcentral
AAUAGAUACCCAGGUAGUCCUAGCCGUAAACGAUGAGCACUGGGUUGAAGGGUCCUCCAUAGCCUUUCAGCCGUAGCGAAAGUGUUAAGUGCUCCGCCUGGGGAGUAUGGUCGCAAGGCUGAAACUCAAAGAAAUUGACGGGGGCUCACACAAGCGGUGGAGGAUGUGGCUUAAUUCGAGGCUACGCGAAGAACCUUAUCCUAGUCUUGACAUGCACGGAUUAACUCCCUGAAAGGGGAGCCACGCCUUCGGGUGGAACGUGCACAGGUGCUGCAUGGCUGUCGUCAGCUCGUGCUGUGAAGUGUCGGGUUAAGUCCCUUAACGAGCGAAACCCUUGUCGCUAGUUGCCAGCGAGUCAUGUCGGGGACUCUAGCGAGACCGCCGGUGUUAAACCGGAGGAAGGUGGGGAUGACGUCAAGUCCUCAUGGCCUUUAUGACUAGGGCUGCACACGUCCUACAAUGGCAUGCACAAAGGGACGCAAAGUCGCGAGACCAAGCAAAUCCCAAAAAACAUGCCCCAGUUCGGAUUGCGAC